Long non-coding RNA from Loxodonta africana (African savanna elephant), 10885 nucleotides. RefSeq lists it as uncharacterized. NCBI's taxonomy places the organism in Eukaryota, Metazoa, Chordata, Mammalia, Proboscidea, Elephantidae. The transcript is spliced from 6 exons. The record is from RefSeq and is a predicted model, not a curated record.
CCGGCUCUCGCUCCGUGAUGCCGGCGACCAACGGCCGCCGCGUAUUCGCCUCUCAACAGCCAAUCGCCGGCGGGGCCGCGACACCUCACACACCGCUGAGCUGGAAGGAGACGCGUCACCCACGUUCGGCGGCGCUCCUACCCCCACUAGCCUCCGCGCCAGCCACGCCCCCUCUACGUCACUGGCGGAGAAACUGGAGGGAGGGGGCACAAAGCCCGAGAGCCCGCGGCCACCGCUCCGCCCGCCUCCUGGCCCCGCUCACCUCCAGGCCCCGCCCAGGCAUGGCUCUUGUUCGGGAAGUCGUAGAGAAAUCCCGUGACCCUAAACCUGCUUCCUCAUAACGGCCCGCCCCCUCGCCAGCACCUCCCAGUUCGCGCAAGGCCCCUUGGGAGUUGUAGUUUGAUUUCCAGAGCAUUCUCUUCGCUUUCCCUGUCCCUACAAGUAUCCACGGCUUCCAUGGAGAGGUCUACAAUUUCGCUUCUCAACGCGAGACUAACUAGCUUUGGAAUUGUUACACUUAGUUUUCCAGUUUUCAGCACAGUUCGUGAGAUGACUUAGGCUGACGGGAAAAAAGCGAAAGCCCUACUAAUAAAAUUUAAAAGGCGUUUUCCGGGUGUCAAUGGGCUGGGCCAUCGAGGUAGGCGCUGAUUGGCAGGCGGUAGGGGGCGUGUCAAGGUUCGCUCUCACCUGAUUGGAUCGGGGGAAGGCCGUUCCCCUCUUCUCUGUCUCUGCAGGAAUUUCCCGUCCCACCAGAUUCUGCUGCUGGGGCCUGCUCGGGUUCUGCUGUGUGGUUCUAGUGCUUUGGGUCCGCUGUAUGGAGGCUGGAAGGAAAACUGUGGGCCCGCUCGGGAAGCGAGCUCCAAGUCACGGGGCACACCUAAGGCGGGGAAGACUGUCAGGUGCACUCACCGUGCUAAGGUCUGGGGCAAAAAAGUAACCACUUCUCCGCCCUUAGUAACCAGCUGCGUGCCCACCCCAGAUUUUCAUGCCGCUGAAGCCCCUGAAAGGUCAGAAGCUAGUUUAGGGACCCUCUGCCUGAAACACCAGAAUGCUUGACCGCUUCUCUUCUCAUGCGCCUCUUGCACGUGGCUUUCUGAUCUUGGAAGGCAAGACUGUGGACGAAGAGGCACUGGCUUCAGCUUAGGGGGCGAUGCUUCUGCUGACUGUUCGCAGCCAAGGACCAAGUGCAGCAGGGACACUAAGACAGGCUCAUAUCUGGGAGACGCGGGAAUCUUCUGAUGGCCACUUUGGCUCAAGAACUCCCCAACAGCCUUGCUGAGCCUUUCUUAGACUACAUGGCAAUCUAGGAUGCUUCCACCCAACCUUCCUUCUCUCUUGCCCUACCUGAGGGAUUUGCCACAGCCAGUCAGCCUCCUCUUCUUUCUCUGAACACCCUGUCCUUGGACUGGAAGAUGGGAAGUGGCCUUGCAAUGCUGAUAACUGGGAGUCCUGGUGGCGAAGUGGUUCUCAGCUGCUAACUGAAAGACUGGCAGUUUGAACCCACCAGCCACUCUGUGGCAGAAAGAUGUGGCAAUCUGCUUCCAUAACGAUUUACAGCCUUGGAAACCCUAUGGGGGAUGUUCUACUCUGUGCUAUAGGGUCGCUAUGAGUUGGAAUCGACUCGACAGUGGCAAUGGGGGAGACUUCAACUUGUUUGGAUGCUAAGAAGAAGGAACCAGUAUUUUAAGAGAAUGAACAAGAAUUUCUGGUCCUAAGAAAGCAAGACCUCGGAGGAUAUUUCUCAAAUGCUUCGAAAGCCUGUGCCAGAGACCUAGGAAGCAUGGUUAGUCCCCUCAAGUACCGAGCUGGACUGUAUAAAUGGAGUCUCUUUUCAAGUAUCUUGGAAGAUUCAAAGGUCUUUUUGACUUUGAAGGUGAGCUCAAGCCUCUGAUCCUGACAGAUGAGGUUCAUCUGCAGCCUUCAAGGGCAUCCACACCUAACAAAUCCAGGCGGCAUCUGUCUUAUUUUGGGAUAUUUCCCCAGCACGAAUGGAAGGAAGUGAAAAAAGGCAGAGCCUUCAAGCAGGGCUCCAGACUGGUCUUCAACAACAAGAGGUACAAGAGCCCACCUUGCCUAUCUCUGGUCCAGCUUCUUCGAGGGAAAUCAAACAAUAAGACCAUUCCAUUACCAUCGUUGUAAAGAUGGCAGCUAUUCAUUUUAAAUGCCAAGUAGUCAGUAUUAACCAAAUGUAAAUUGAAGAGAAGGCGUAUAUUUUUCUAGGCGUCCAUUCACAUCAGAAAUAACAGAACACGUGGCGAGCAGAAUUGGAAAGUAUUUAAACAGUUUCUCACCCAAGAUGAACACACAGGUUAUCUCAUGAGGCGGAUCACAUGGCUCCGUGCUUGCAAGUAAGUGUGGCUUAAGUUUCACAAGCAUCUGCUCACAUAUUAAGCACUUAUCGACACUUUGUUCGGCGACCUUGGCCACAGGGCUCCCUGAAAUGAGAGCUGGGCUGAGGCUGGGACUGUGGACGUCACCAAAAGCUACUUGAGGCAAUGUUACUUGCACGAAAAAUCCACUUCUACCAAUCUCAAUAAUAAUAUCAAGGACAAAGGUAAUGUUAGGAAGAGCUAACGUACAAUAGCAUCUAAAAGAAUACCUAGGAAGAAAUUUAAUCAGGGAGGUGAGAGACUUAUACACUGAAAACAAUAAAACUUUGCUGAAAGAAAUUAAAGAAGACUUAAAUCAAUGAAAAGAUAUUCUGUGUUCGUGGAUUGGAAGACUUAAUAUUGUUUGGAUGUCAGUACUACUCAAAUUAAUCUACAGAUUCAACACAAUCCCUAUCAAAACCCUAACAUCCUGUUUUGAAAAAAUGGAAAAGCUGAUCUUCAAAUUCAUAUGGAAUUACAAGGGGACCCAGAUAGCCAAAAUAAUCUGGAAAAAGAAAAACAAAGUAGGGGGACUCACACUUCCUGAUUUCAAAAUAUACUAUAAAGCUACAGUAAACAAAAACGUGUGAGACUUGUAUAAGAAUAGACAUAUAGACAAAGGGAAUAUAAUUGAGAAUCCAGAAAUAAACCCAUACAUCUAUGUCAACUGAGUUUUUACAAGGAUGCCAAGUCCAUUCGAUGAGGAAAGAAUGUCUUCAACAAAUGGUGGUGAGACAACUGUAUCUCCAUGUGUAAAAAAAUGAAGUUGGACCCCUACCUUGUACCUAUACGAAAAUCAACUCAAAAUGGAUUAAUGGUCUAAAUAUAAUAACGAAAACCAUAAAAAUCUUAGAAGACAUAGGGGUAAUGCUUCAAAACCUUGUUUUUGCAGAUGGUUUCUUUUUUCUUUUUUUUUAAUUUAUUUUUUACUAUUGUAGUUUAGAUGAAGGUUUACAGAACAAACCAGCUUCUUAUUAAAUAGUACACACAUUGUUUUGUGACACUGAUUACCAACCCCAUGGCAUGUCGACACUCUCCCUUCUUGACCUUGGGUUCCCUAUUACCAGCUUUCCUGUCCUCUUCCCGCCUCCAAUCCCUGCCCCUGGACCUGUGUGCCCCUUGUCUCAUUUUUUUUAUGGGCCUGUCCAAUCCUUGCCAAUGGUUUCUUAAUAUGACACCAAAAACAUGAGAAACAAAAGAAAAAAGUAGAUAAAUUUAACUUCAUCAAAAUGAAAAACUUUUGUGCAUCAAAGAACUUUAACAAGAAAGUGAAGAGACAACCUACAGAAUGGGAAAAAAUAUUUGGGAACCAUACUUUUCAUAAGGGUUUAAUAUCCAGAAUAUAAAAAGAACUCCUGUGACUCCACAACAAAAUGACAAACAGCUCAAUUUAAAAAUGGGCAAAGCAGUUGAAUAGAUAUUUCUCCAAAGAAGAUAUACACAUGCCCAAAAAGCACAUAAAAAGAUGCUCGUUAGUCAUCAGGGAAAUGCAAAUCAAAGUUAGAAUGAAAUACCACUUCAUACGCACUAGGAUGGCUAUUAUCAGAAAAGUGGAAAAUAACAAGUGUUGGCAAGGACAAGGGGAAAUGGAAACCCUCAUGCACUGCUGGCGGGAAUGUAAAAUGGUACAGCCACUGUGGAAAAUGGUUUGGCACCUUCUCAAAAAGUUAAGUAUAAAAUUGCCAAAUGACCCAGCAAUUCCAUUCCUAGGCAUACACCUAAAAAGUCUUGAAAGCAGGGACUGAAAUAGAGACUUCCACACCAGUGUUGUUUAGCGGCAUUGUUCACAAUAGCCACAAGGCCAAAACAACCCAAGCCCAUCAACAGAUGAAUGGAUAACCAAAAUGUGGUAUAUCUAAACAAUGGGAUAUUAUUCAGCCAUAAAGAGCAAUGAAGCUGUGAUAUAUGCUGUCACAUGGAUGAAACUUGGAAACAUUACACUAAUAAGUCAGAAACAAAAGGACGGAUAUUAUAUGACCCCAUUUAUAUGAAAUAUAUAGAAUAGGCAAAUGCACAGGGACAAAAGCUCAUUGUGAUGGCCAGAGCUUAGAGGAGAGGGGAAUGGGUUAUCGCUAAGGAGCACUGAUUUCUGUUUGGGGUGAUGAAAAAUUUUUAGAAGUGAAUAAUGGUGAUGGUUGUGCAAUGUGGUGAAUGUAACUAAUGUCAUUGAAUUGUACUCUAAAAAUGGUUCAAAUGGCAAAUGUUUUGUUAUAUAUAUUUUACCAAAAUAAAUUUUUUUAAAAAAAAGAGUUAACAUAUUUAAGUUCCUACCGUAGGAGAUAUUUGCAAAGAAUUUGGCACAUAUGCUCUCAUUUUCUGCUCACAGCCCUUAUUAGAUAGGUCUGAGUUCAUAGCAACCUUGAUUUACAGAUGAGGAAGCUGAAGCUUAGAGAGGGGAAAACAGGUUUCCAAGCUCGCGCACAAGCCAAGGCACAAGCCAGGCUGCCUAGCUCCUUGGAUUCUGCUGUUAACUCUUCUGAGAGGAGUCAACGCAGGAGAAAACACAACACAACAGGGUAAUUCCGAAGAAUGAGCUAAGGGAAAAAAAAGAAGUGAACCAUUAGCAAAGUGAAUGCUGGGAAAGCCACGGGCAGGAUGUGGUGACAGGCAUGAAGCAGGUCGAGGUGAGUGCUAUAGAACUAAAUCUGUUCGUAGAACAAUAGGCCUAUCAGUGUGGUAGGGGAGGCCUGUGCCUUAAAGGAGCCCUGCUGACUGGCUAUCAUUUCUCCCUGGAAGGAUCCCACCUCCCCCACAGGGCUGAACUCAGCUUUCUCCAGCAUUGGUGGGUGAAGGAAAUACCUGCUCUUCAGGUGGAACCAAGCCCCCCUCCCCCUCCCUAGUACAUUCCUAUAACCCAUACAAGAACCCACUGACUGGAUCAGGCUCUGGAUAUGACCUCAGUGUUCAGAGUGUAUUGUGAAGAGGCUGUAUUGGCUUAAAGCAGUCACAGUGGGCUGAGUACGUUUAUCUCUAAAGAACGAACACGUAUCCCGCAUAAGCAGGAAACCCUAUCAAUUUAGCAAUGUGAGAAAUGGAGAGACUUUUAGCAAAAACUAGUAUGAAUGGUGUAAGUUGUGGGAGAACAGAAACAGUGGCCUAUUUGUCUUAAUGAACUAUACUUAUUGCCAAACACAAAAAGAAGAACAAAAAGUGUUUUUGGUAUACCACAAACAAGUGUUUCCCGUUGUCGUUGAGUAGAUUCCAACCCAUAGGUAAUUAGAAAUAACCCUCGUUCAUCCAAUCUCUCCAUUACAAAGACAUCUUCUAUUUCUGUGUUCUGGGCACACCUCAUUCACAUAUGCCUCAGCCCUACUGGGGAGGCUUUGUGAGUUCUGAGGUUUCUUUCUCUCUUGCUUAGAGGAAGAGGCAUCCGGCAUGCAGAGGAGGGGUCUAUGCGCAGUUCUUCCAUUUUUCGUACUAGGCUAGGGACAGAAAAACUUUUUGGCUCACAGGACACCACUGACAUGCUGUUCUAAGCAGAAGGCCUCAUCACACUAUAGAAUUUCUGUACCCAAGCCACCUGCAGCUUUACCCAGAUCCCUUCUUCCCUUUGAGAGCUAAUACACUGAAAACCCUCAGUGCUGUCCUGCUUUGAACACAGAGAGCCAAGAAUGUACUGCCACUGCUGUGCCGGAGCUCAGUCUUAGUGGUCAUGAGAGCUGAUGGUAAAUCUCCAGAAAUUUUCUGAGCCGACUGUGAAGUCGUUGGUAUUUUGAAAUUGGCCAUAGUGGAAGUAUUUACACCAUAGAAAUUUGGAAAUACUACAAAUUGUGGCCCUUUUUUUGAGAACCAAAAAUAAGAGGCCAUGGUUCAUCACCAAACGUGUCAUGCACUUACAUAGUUUUCAGCAAACCUUGCUGAGUUUAUUGACUGAGUGCCAGACCCUGUCGUGGGUACAAGAGCUAUGGAGAUAGGUGAUGCAUGAUGCUUGGACUAAAAGAGGCCCCAUCAACUUUGACCAUUCUUAUGCCUCCUGCUGAGACAACUGAACAGACUUCGGGCGAUUCACACUUGUUAUUGAGAUAUUCUCAAGUCUCUCCCACUUGCCAUUAUCAAGUAUCCUGAGAAAGGUGUUCAUAAGCUUGUAACCAAUUCAUCUCAAAUUAACAUCUUUACUAAAUAGCAGAAAAAUCAAGUACCUGACCCUUUAGAAAUAUUUUUCUUCCACUUUUUCUUCUUCUCCUGACCCUUUUUUUCUCCGGUUCCUUGGGGGGGUUUUCAUGCCAAAGAAAAAGGAACAUAGGGUAACUCCUUUGGGUAACUUGGGGCAUUUGCUUUUGCUAGUGCCUUUGGGAGUUCUGUAAACUGGUUAAUAGGGAUUUCAAAAAUGCUAUUUAUCAUUUACCUGUUGCCAUCAAGUCAAUUCUGACUCAUAGCGACCCUUGAGAUGACACAACCUUGCUUGCUGAAAAUGAAGAAGGCUCGAAGCACUGACUGAUGAAGAUCAAAGACUACAGCCUUCAGUAUGGAUUACACCUUAACAUAAAGAAAACAAAAAUUCUCACAACUGGACCAAUAAGCAACAUCAUGAUAAACAGAAAAUAUUGAGGUUGUUAAGGAUUUCAUUUUGCUUGGAUCCACAAUCAACAUCCGUGGAGGCAGCAGUCUAGAAAUCAAACGACACAUUGCGUUGGGCAAAUCUGCUGCAAAAGUCCUCUUUAAAGUGUUAAAAAGCAACGAUGUCACUUUGAGGACUAAGGCUCACCUGACACAAGCCAUGGUAUUUUCAAUUGCCUUUUUCAUAUGCAUGCAAGAGCUGGACAAUGAAUAAGGAAGGCUGACAAAGAACUGAUACUUUUGAAUUAUGGACUACCAGAAUAAAGAACAAAUCUUAGAAGAGAUAUAGCCAGAAUGCUCCUGAGAAGUGAGGGUGGCGAGAUUUCGUCUCACAUACUUUGGACAUUUUUCUUAGUCGUCUAGUGCUGCUAUAACAGAAAUACCACAAGUGGAUGGCUUUAACAAAGAGAAUUUAUUCUCUCACAGCUAGUAGGCUACAAGUCCACGUUCAGGGCAUCAGCUCCAGGGGAAGGCUUUCUCUCCCUGUUGGCUUUGGAAGAAUGUCCUUGUCAUCAAUUUUCCCUUGGUCUGGGAGCAACUCAGUGCAGGAACCUCAGGUCCUGUGUUCCUCGCGCUGCUUCUUUCUUGGUGGUAUGAGGUCCCCUUGUCUCCGCUCGCUUCUCUCUUUUAUAUCUCAAAAGAGACUAGCUUAAGACACUAUCUAAUUUUAUAGAUCUUACCAAUAUAACUGCCACUAAUCCAUCUCAUUAACAUCAUAGUGAUAGGAUUUAAAAUACAGAGGGAAAUCACAUCAGAUGACAAAAUGGUAGCUGAUCAUGCAGUACUGGGAAUCAUGACCUGGCCAAGGUGACACAUAUUUUGGGGGGAUACAAUUCAAUCCAUGACAGACAUGUUACAGGAAGGACCAGUCCCUGGAGAAGGACAUCAUACAUGCUCAGCUAAAAAGAGGUAGGGCCUCAUCGAGAUGGAUUGACACAGUGACUGCAACAGUGGGCUCAAACGUAGCAACAAUUGUGAGGAUGGCACUAUAAGUUGGAACAGACUCGAAGGCACAGAACAACAACAUUUAUCGUUUAUGUUUUAAUCGUGUACCACAAAUGGGUUUCUCACUAGUUUGCCCUUCCCCUCUGGUUUUAAUUACAUAGCUCGGUGUUCAGCAUAAAAAAUGCAAAAGAGAAAAAAAGACUAUGUUAUAUGACCCUAAUGCUUCUGUUGGCCGGAGCUGGAGUUAACCUCCUGGUUCUGCCACUCAUCUGCUAAAUAACCCCGAGCUAUAUAAAAACAGAAAAAAAAAAAGAAAGAAAUCUUUUCUUUUUUUAUAGCUUUCCUAAUCAGUGUGUAACAGGAUGACCUUUCCACCCACAGGGGCAUUUAAAGGAUUAACUGUGGGCCACUACGAUACUUAGAAAAGAUAAAAGCAGUUGGUUACUAUUAAUCCAAGCUGGGCUAGUCCCAUAGACAGGCUCUGCAUUGUCUAGGUUAUUAAAAGCCUUGGGUCCCUUACCCCCCACAAGAGCCAUAAUCUGAUUAAAAGAACCUAAAACCAUGACUGCUCAGAAUUUCUGUUGAGGAAAAAGAGUCAGUGCUGUGGUUGCUCACAGGAAAUGACGCAGGAUCGGGUAACAGCCUGAAAGACCUGGGUUAUGGGUGAACAUGACUCCGGACAUUCUCUUAGAGGAGCAUGGAAAUGGAAAACAAGUGUCAGCACCGAAUAUUCCCCUCUAUUUAUUUCUCCUUCUUUUGGGCUUCAGUUCUUUAUCUUUGCUGAUCCUUGUAGAUACUUGCAUUUUUAAGCCUCCUCUUUUUUUUAUAAAGGUUCCGAGCAUUUUUGGAACACUUACUCUGUGAUACAUUCCUAAAACCAAAACCAAACCCAUUGCCAUCAAAACGAUUCUGACCCAGAAUAGAACUGCCCCAUAGGGUUUCCAGGGCUGUAAGUCUUUAUGAAAAAAAAAAAAAGCACACUGUCAAAUCUCUCUCCUACGGAGCGGCCGAUGGAUUUGAACCGCCAGUCUUUCAGAUAGCAGUCAGGCAUUUCAACCAUUGUGUCUCCAGGGCUCCUCCUGUGAUGCAUGCUGGGGAUAUUUUGGAGAACAAGUUGCUGUUCCUUCCCCCAAAGAAGUAUGUCUUAGUUUCCCAGUACUGCUGUAACAGAAACAAGUGUGUGGCUUUAAAGGAUAGGUAUUUAUUUUCUCACAGUUUAGGAGGCUUCAAGUCCAAAUUCAGAGCGUGGAUCUAGGGGGAGGGCCUCUCUUUUCUACUUCAGCUUCUAACCUGUUGCCAAUGGUCAACUCAUAGUGACCCUAUAGGACAGGGUAGAACUAACUGCCCCAUAGGAUUUCCUAGGCUGUGAUCCUUAUUAGAAGCAGAUUGCCACACCAUUGUUCCAAGGAACAGCUGGUGGGUUCAAACCACUGAAGUUUUGGUUUGCAGCUGAGCACUUUAACCACUGUGCCACAAGGACUCCUUAUUCAGCUUGGAGUUCUUGGACUUGUAGAUACAUCUGCCUCCGUAGUGUCUGUCUUUACCCUAUUUCUGCUUGCUUCUGUGCUUAAUCUGCUCUGUUUACAUCUCAAAAGUGAUUAAGACAAACCCUACACUUAUUAACAAAGAAAAUCCCAUUCCCAAAUGGGAUUACUUCCACAGGUGUAUCGGUUGGAUUCCAAAAGUAUGAUAGAAAGUAUGAUAGAGUAGAAUACGAUGAUAUAAGUAUCUCUAAGUCAAGCUGGUCACAUUAGGAGGAACUUCCUGGAAGAGGCGAUACUGGGGUUAGUUCAGGGACAAGGAGAUGCUAGCCAGGGGAGUGAUGGGAAAAGGGUAUUUCAAGCAGAGGGAAGAAAAGGUGCACAGAGAUGUAAGAGAACAGUAAGUUCUCUUACCUCUCUUUCAAGUAAGAAAAGAGACUUCAAAGAACUCUCUGGAGUUUAAGGUUUGGGCAGGGUGGCAUGGCGGGAGAUGAGCCAGCAGAAGCCAGUCCCAGGAUGCAUCUAUAAGUCUUGCUAAAGAACUUGCAGUUUAUCUAGGAGAAAAAAGGAACUAUUGAAGUAUUUUAAGCAGGGGAAUGGACUAGUUAGAAUUGUGAUUUAAAAAGCAUUUUUAAAUAUAAUUAUAAUAGUAAAAUCUGUUGAUAUUUAUUGAGCACUUAUUAUGUGCCAGGCAUGUUUUAAGCACUUUUCUUGAUAUAACGCAUUUCAUUCUCACAACAGUCUUGCCUGAAGCCAAAUGGUAGCAGUAAGUGGGGCCAGGAUGCAAACCACGCCAGGCUGCCACCAGUGACCCUGCUCUCAGCCACUAAACUAUAAACAUAUCUUAUGUUAUUGGCGUACUAAUAUUAAUAUAAAUUCUCAUUGCUUAUCUUUUCCUUGUUGUUUUUCAAUUUUAAACCAAUUUUUACUCCCAGCAAUUCUCAUGCACGAAAGAGGUUUGACUGUGAAAAACUCUAGAUUUCAGUUAUCUUCAAUAAGGCCUAGGGGAUCCCAAAUUAGAAAGCAUGCACAGAAAAUUCUGUGCUGGCUGGACUUCUUUGUGUGAUGGUUGCACAGUCCCUCAGAGAAGAUAACUCUGCAAGACUCCAUCAGCCUGAGACCAGAAGAACUAGAUGGUGCCCAGCUACCACCAAUGACCACGGCGACAGGGAACACAACAGAGUCUCUGAUGGAGCAGGAGAAAAGCAGAGUGUAGAACUCAAAUUCAUGUGGAAAGGCCAGACUUAAUGGUUUGACUGAGACUAGAGGAAGCCCAGAAGACAUGGCCCCCAAACUCUCUGUUAACCCAGAACUAAAACCAUUCCCGAAGCCAACUCUUCAGACAAAGAUUAGACUGGACUAUAAAACACAAAAUGAUAUUUGUGAAGAGUGUGCUUCCUAGUUCAAGUAGAUACAGAAGACUCAAUGGCCGUUCCUGUCUGGAAGCAAGAUGAGAAGGUAGAAAGGGAUCGGAGCUGGUUGAAUGGACACAGGAAAUUCUGGGCGGAAAGAGGGAGUGUGCUGUCACAUUAU